GUCAUCCUCCUCCACCUGCUAUGUUGGAUGUUGGACACAAACCAAGCCCGAGCUUGCUUGUUAUCAAUAAACCCCAGUAUGUUUUACCUCAGAUAUCAGCUCUGUGGUGGUCUUGCUCAGGGGUCUCAUGAUGUGGAAACAACAUUUGGGGGCUUGUCCAGGAUCCUCCGUGACACCCAGACCCUGAUCCGAGGGGUUCCUAACCAGCUGGUUUCCACUUGGCUGAAAGACACAUCCAAGCAUCAUUUGCUGACAAGCUCUGAAGUUGCUGAAAGCUGAUAUGGACCAAUCCAGCCAAUAUAAAUGCUAUCUCUUCAGCUGGUCAAUAAAAUGUUCCCUCCUU
This is a non-coding RNA of Peromyscus maniculatus bairdii (prairie deer mouse), 343 nucleotides long. NCBI's taxonomy places the organism in Eukaryota, Metazoa, Chordata, Mammalia, Rodentia, Cricetidae. The record is from RefSeq and is a predicted model, not a curated record.